RNAcentral lists this small nuclear RNA (197 nucleotides) under Triticum aestivum (bread wheat). RNAcentral describes it as "snRNA U2". It matches the Rfam family "U2 spliceosomal RNA". From Rfam's summary of the family: U2 is a small nuclear RNA (snRNA) component of the spliceosome (involved in pre-mRNA splicing). Complementary binding between U2 snRNA (in an area lying towards the 5' end but 3' to hairpin I) and the branchpoint sequence (BPS) of the intron results the bulging out of an unpaired adenosine, on the BPS, which initiates a nucleophilic attack at the intronic 5' splice site, thus starting the first of two transesterification reactions that mediate splicing. The record is from Rfam by way of RNAcentral. Lineage: Eukaryota; Viridiplantae; Streptophyta; Magnoliopsida; Poales; Poaceae.
AUACCUUUCUCGGCCUUUUGGCUAAGAUCAAGUGUAGUAUCUGUUCUUAUCAGUUUAAUAUCUGAUAUGUGGGCCAUGUGCCCACAACGAUAUUAAAUUUAUUUUUUGUGGGGGAGGGCCCACCACAGUGGCUUGCCACUGGGGCCCUCAGGUGUCGCCCAGUGCGUUGCACUAUUGCCUGGGCAGGCCUACCCCAA